UGGGGAAUAUUGGACAAUGGGCGAAAGCCUGAUCCAGCAAUGCCGCGUGAGUGAUGAAGGCCUUAGGGUUGUAAAGCUCUUUUACCCGGGAUGAUAAUGACAGUACCGGGAGAAUAAGCCCCGGCUAACUCCGUGCCAGCAGCCGCGGUAAUACGGAGGGGGCUAGCGUUGUUCGGAAUUACUGGGCGUAAAGCGCGCGUAGGCGGCUUUGUAGGUUAGAGGUGAAAGCCCGGAGCUCAACUCCGGAACUGCCUUUAAGACUGCAUCACUUGAACGUCGGAGAGGUAAGUGGAAUUCCGAGUGUAGAGGUGAAAUUCGUAGAUAUUCGGAAGAACACCAGUGGCGAAGGCGACUUACUGGACGACUGUUGACGCUGAGGUGCGAAAGCGUGGGGAGCAAACAGG
This 404-nucleotide ribosomal RNA is filed under the name uncultured bacterium. RNAcentral describes it as "bacterial SSU rRNA". It matches the Rfam family "Bacterial small subunit ribosomal RNA", at positions 355 to 776 of the family's 1533-position model. The record is from RNAcentral.